Molecule: ribosomal RNA, 274 nt
Filed under: uncultured bacterium
Lineage: Bacteria
Description: partial 16S ribosomal RNA
Rfam family: Bacterial small subunit ribosomal RNA
Source: RNAcentral
AUACGGGGGGUGCAAGCGUUGUCCGGAAUCAUUGGGCGUAAAGGGUUCGUAGGUGGAAUUAUAAGUCUGGUGUGAAAGCCCACAGCUCAACUGUGGAACUGCACUGGAUACUGUUUUUCUUGAGUUAUAGAGGGGUUUGUGGAAUUUCUGGUGUAGAGGUGAAAUUUGUAGAGAUCAGAAAGAACACCGGUGGCGAAGGCGACAAACUGGCUAUUAACUGACACUGAGGAACGAAAGCGUGGGGAGCGAACAGAAUUAGAAACCCUAGUAGUCC